AUACGGAGGAUGCGAGCGUUAUCCGGAUUUAUUGGGUUUAAAGGGUGCGUAGGCUGUGCGUUAAGUCAGGGGUGAAAUGCCGUCGCUCAACGACGGAGCUGCCCUUGAUACUGGCGUGCUGGAGUACGGAUGCCGUUGGAGGAAUGAGUGGUGUAGCGGUGAAAUGCUUAGAUAUCACUCAGAACACCGAUUGCGAAGGCAUCUGACGAAUCCGUCACUGACGCUGAGGAACGAAAGCGUGGGGAUAGAACAGGAUUAGAUACCCUGGUAUCCCACGCCGUAAACGAUGAUGACUAACCGUCGGCGAUAGACAGCCGGUGGCCAAGCGAAAGCGAUAAGUCAGCCACCUGGGGAGUACGUCGGCAACGAUGAAACUUAAAGGAAUUGACGGGG
This 393-nucleotide ribosomal RNA is filed under the name uncultured bacterium. RNAcentral describes it as "partial 16S ribosomal RNA". It matches the Rfam family "Bacterial small subunit ribosomal RNA", at positions 523 to 918 of the family's 1533-position model. The record is from RNAcentral.